RNAcentral lists this ribosomal RNA (446 nucleotides) under uncultured bacterium. RNAcentral describes it as "partial 16S ribosomal RNA". It matches the Rfam family "Bacterial small subunit ribosomal RNA", at positions 338 to 795 of the family's 1533-position model. The record is from RNAcentral.
CCUACGGGUGGCUGCAGUCGAGAAUCAUUCACCAUGGGGGAAACCCUGAUGGUGCGACGCCGCGUGGGGGAAUGAAGGUCUUCGGAUUGUAAACCCCUUUCAUGUGGGAGCAAAUUAAAAAGAUAGUACCACAAGAGGAAGAGACGGCUAACUCUGUGCCAGCAGCCGCGGUAAUACAGAGGGCUCAAGCGUUGUUCGGAAUCACUGGGCUUAAAGCGUGCGUAGGCUGUGUCGUAAGGCGUGUGUGAAAGACGCGGGUCCAACACGCGGACGGCAGAUGAUACUGCGAGACUAGAGUAAUGGAGGGGGAACCGGAAUUCUCGGUGUAGCAGUGAAAUGCGUAGAUAUCGAGAGGAAGACUCGUGGCGAAGGCGGGUUCCUGGACAUUAACUGACGCUGAGGCACGAAGGCCAGGGGAGCGAAAGGGAUUAGAUACCCUUGUAGUC